This 378-nucleotide ribosomal RNA is filed under the name uncultured bacterium. RNAcentral's name for it is "bacterial SSU rRNA". It matches the Rfam family "Bacterial small subunit ribosomal RNA", at positions 362 to 758 of the family's 1533-position model. The record is from RNAcentral.
UAUUGGACAAUGGGCGAAAGCCUGAUCCAGCCAUGCCGCGUGAGUGAUGAGGGCCCCCCGCCCUUGUAAAGCUCUUUUGUGCGGGAAGAUAAUGACGGUACCGCAAGAAUAAGCCCCGGCUAACUUCGUGCCAGCAGCCGCGGUAAUACGAAGGGGGCUAGCGUUGCUCGGAAUCACUGGGCGUAAAGGGUGCGUAGGCGGGUCUUUAAGUCAGAGGUGAAAUCCUGGAGCUCAACCCCAGACCUGCCUUUGAUACUGAGGAUCUUGAGUUCGGGAGAGGUGAGUGGAACUGCGAGUGUAGAGGUGAAAUUCGUAGAUAUUCGCAAGAACACCAGGGCGAAGGCGGCUCACUGCCCGAUACUGACGCGAGGCACGAAA